Molecule: long non-coding RNA, 108 nt
Organism: Melitaea cinxia (Glanville fritillary)
Lineage: Eukaryota; Metazoa; Arthropoda; Insecta; Lepidoptera; Nymphalidae
Exons: 3
Source: RefSeq, a predicted model, not a curated record
GUCUAUUUCUAGGUGUUAUCUUUCAAAUUAAACCUAGAAACUGAUUGUUCCUUUUUGUCACUUGUUACUUGAAUAUGUUGUGUAAAUACGGAAAUAAAUAAAUAAUAA